GGGACGUUCCUGAAAAUACGUAGCUUGGAUGGCAGCAUGUGUUGCUCCAAAACCUGGAUGUACCUUUUAGCAUUGAUAGUGCCAUCACAGAUGAGUAAGUUGCCCUUGCCAUGGGCACUGACACACCCCAUACCAUGGGGUCUGACCUUU
This is a long non-coding RNA of Thalassophryne amazonica, 150 nucleotides long. RefSeq lists it as uncharacterized. NCBI's taxonomy places the organism in Eukaryota, Metazoa, Chordata, Actinopteri, Batrachoidiformes, Batrachoididae. The transcript is spliced from 3 exons. The record is from RefSeq and is a predicted model, not a curated record.